UGGAUGAGCCCGCGGCCUAUCAGCUUGUUGGUGGGGUAAUGGCCUACCAAGGCGGCGACGGGUAGCCGGCCUGAGAGGGUGGACGGCCACAUUGGGACUGAGAUACGGCCCGGACUCCUACGGGAGGCAGCAGUGGGGAAUAUUGCACAGUGGGCGCAAGCCUGAUGCAGCGACGCCGCGUGGGGGAUGACGGCCUUCGGGUUGUAAACUCCUUUCGCUAGGGACGAAGCUUUUUGUGACGGUACCUAGAUAAGAAGCACCGGCUAACUACGUGCCAGCAGCCGCGGUAAU
RNAcentral lists this ribosomal RNA (291 nucleotides) under uncultured bacterium. Its description in RNAcentral is "partial 16S ribosomal RNA". It matches the Rfam family "Bacterial small subunit ribosomal RNA", at positions 222 to 524 of the family's 1533-position model. The record is from RNAcentral.